AAACAGUGCACGCGAAAAAAUAUGUUACGACGUAACUACAAAUUGCGGCGGGUGACUGGAGUGUCGGGGAACGGCCGACCGGACACGCGGAUAACGUUACAGUACCCGUCGGGGAAAAACGGAAGGCGCAAAAAUCGCGGAGUCGGCGUAUAAUAGUUUGUAAAAAUCCAAUAGAAAUCAUCGUGCACCAAACGGACCGUGAAAACGCGUGGAUAAAACUCCCCAUAUUCACGGAAAAUCGCUAAGGAGAUUUAUACAGCGCCGUCGUUGUCACACGAUAGACCAGCCACCAGUGCGAGGAAUUAUUAUUAGCGAGAAGUUUGGGAACACGUGAGUAUAAUUUUUAUUUCUAAUUUAUUUAAUUGAUUAAUAAUUAAUUUUAAAAUUAUAAGUUUAAAUUAAUUAUAGUUUUUUUUUUUUGAAAAAUGAUAUAUAUAUAUAUAUAGAAAAUGAAUUUCAACUUCUACAAUUGUACUAAAUUUAAUAUAGUUGGCAGUGGCUGACGAAAAAUGCGUAGUAAGUUGUUGCAAUAUUAUAUACUACAAAUUCUAUUGUUCGUCACAUAAAAGCUUUUCGGUGUAACUAUAUUUUAUUUUAUCUUUCAGAAUGUUUUAAAUGCCAACUAUGGUGGCACGUAGCCUGUCAUUAUGGUAAGUGAAAAGUUGUUAAAAAUGUUAAAAUAAAAUUAAUAAUUAAUAUCUUUAUAAGAUAAAGGCCAGAGGCUGUGGCAGUGGUGGCGGCAAUGACAUUGUCGAUGACAGUGGAGCCGAUGAACUUGGUGUGUUAUGUAUAAAAUAGAAUGACUAAAUUAAGACAAAAUUAAAAUCCACCCAUUGAUCUAACAAACAAAUAACAACUCUAGGUGGUUAUAAGUUGAGAGAAAAUCUAACAUUUUAACAUAUUACAUUAUCGUUAAUAUUAAUUAAUAGUAUCUAAAAUAGUAGAUACUAUCUUAAAUCAUGUCUACCAUGUAUUAUAAUUAUAUUGAUUAUGUCAUUAAAAUAAUUAUUGUGAUAAGUUAAUAUUUUGAAAAGCGUACAACAGCAUUCAUUGAUGAAGUUUAUAUAAUAUUAUGGAAGAAUCUGAAAUACCUAGUAAGCUUGUGACACUAAAAUAUAUAUGGAAGGUACAAAAUACCAGGUGAGGGUAGACGGGAGAUUAGCUGAGGCUUUCAUGGUACAACCCAGCUGAAAAUAAGAAAAAUCACUAUCCUCGUUAUUGUGUAUAAUUUAAUGCUAGAAAAGGCAGAAAGAAUGAUGCAAAGAGAGGCAAAUGGAAUAACAAUAGAUGGACAUUAAGUGUGGAUUUUAGGUUUUGCAUAUGAUUUGAAUAUUCUUAGUGAGUCACUGGAGGGUGCUAUAGAUCUACACAACUACAGUAGGAUUAAAAACUAAUGUGGAAAAACCAAUAUAUUGGAGCUUGUCAGCAAUGUGUUACCUCAAAUCUUAAGAGUAUAGUCUCUAUAGUGUUUGAAAAAGUUGAAGGAUUCCAAUAUCUCAAUAAAAAACAAAUGAUUGGUCACGAUCACAAACAAAGUCAGAAAGAGAUUCUUUUCCCUGACUAAUUUCUUUGAAUACAAAGUUUUCUCUAAGAAAACAAAACUUAAGACUGUACACAGUAAUGAUUAGACCUACGCUCACUUAAGGAUGUGAAGUAUAGACUACGAUAAGUGUAAUAGUAAGGUUAGGUUUAGUUAGGACUUAGAACUUUUGAAAAUAAAAUUAGGAGAAUGAUAUGUGAACCAGUUGAAUGAAUGGAGUAGUCAUUUUAAUAAGGAAGUUUGAAAACUGGGAUGAAUAUUAAUCACUCGUGUAGAAGAAAAAGAAAAUAGGUUAAUCUCUACAGUGUAUCAAAUUAAUUUGAACGUUUUUGGUGGGAAUCAUUAAAAUUAAAAAUAAAUUUGAUACUUACCAAAAUCAAAAAUAUCCUAUAUAUAUAUAUAUAUUAUUACAAGAACCCAAAACCUCAAAAUUCUUGUAGAUAUUUAAUCUUAUAGGAUAAAUUGUAAAUGUUUACAUUUUUUUUUUUUCAAACUAAAUAAUUCAUAUGUUUCUGAAUGUAUUUUAUUAUUACACAUAUAACAAUAUCAGUUAAUAUUUAUAUCUUGAAAUUUUUUUGAUUAUUUUUAUUUGUGCACAAUAUUAAACUAGAAAUAUUAAAUAACAUUCAUGAAAUAUAGUCAUUAAAUAGUACAUAAUUGGUAGAUAUUAUAAUGUUAUUUCAAUAAUAUUCUUUUUUAUUCAUUGUUUUCAGCAUGACAGAGACAACAUUAUAGGAAGUUGUUAUAACCUAAAUUUACAUGAUAUUUAAUAAAGUAUUGUAAUUAAAUAAUUAUUAUAAGAAAAUGAAUAAUUACAUACAUUUGCAAAUAAUUGUAAAUUAAUAAUUUUUGUUGGCGAAGCUUUUAACAUAAGUUGAUGAGUAUUAUUCAUUUGCAUAGACAAUAGCAACAAUUUUUUAAAUUUUAAAUCUGCAGUUGUCCAAUUACCAGAAUAUAUUGCAAAGUUGAUGGAUUCCUUCUGUAUAAAUACACAGUAAUUUUCAAACAAGUUCUAAAUAAAUAGGACAUUUUAAUAUUUACUUGAAGGUUUAAAUUAUCAAAUAAAUAACAAUAUAAAUAUAACUCUGAACAGUAAAAUACAAAUAUUGUGGCGAGUUUGAAUACCGACAUAAGGGAAAAUAGUUCUGGUGAUGUACAAACCUAUAUAAAUGAAGUACAUAUAUUCUAUUAAAAUACUCGUGGUAAAAUUUAAUAUUUCUUUGUAAAUUUUAAUCAACCUUAAUUAAUGAAUAGGUCGCUGUUGUAAUUCCAAUUGAAAUAAGAGCAACAUAUACUAAAAUCAUAGGCCACACUAUGGAAUAAUAUAACUUCAAUUUCCUACAAAACAAACAAUUUACCUAGAGCUUGCAAUAGUUAAAUUAAAUUUUUUCCUGAAACAUUUUCUAUAAUUAUAUUAUGUACAUACAUAUAUAUAUAAUACUAUAAUUUAUAGAAGUUGAUUAAAGUAGAUUGGUACUAAAAAUCUGAAUGGUACAACAAUAUCUGGCUAGGGCCAACUAAUUUGUAAAAUAAUUCGGUUAGGUUCAGAUUUUCGUGGGUGUAUCAGGAAUAGGUUCGUUAUUUUAUUGAGGUGGAAUAGUUUGGUUAAAACAUGUUUUCCAAAGAUUUCUGGCAGAGCAUGCAACACUAUAGUCUGUUGGUUAUUUUAAAAACUAGGACGUCUAUAUUAAUAUCAAGAUAUGAAAUGAAACCAUGAGAUUGGAGACUCGGGGUCACCCAUUUAUUUAAUACUGGAAUAUAGACAGUGUUGUAUUCUGGUAGGCCUGGUGGUAUUAAAUUACAAAUAUAAUUAAGAAAUGGUCUGCAUAUUGUGUUUAAAAAAACUUAACACGACCCGGACAUUUAUAAUUUAAAAAUUGUCGAGUUCAGGACUUGCAGGACUUAAAUAGGUUUUUCUGUCUUGAAAAAAAUUGAAAUUGAUAACAUUUUUAUUUAGAAAUAUGUAUCAGUAAGUAAAAUUAACAAUAAAUUUAUAGAUACUUACAAAUACAAUUGUAGUUGAUCAAAUAGUACUGAUUUAAACUCUUUAUAAUUUUUGGAAAAAUUGUUCUUGUUAUCUGAAAUGAUCAAUUAAAUUAAUAUAUUUGUUGGGGUUUUUUUUGUGUAAGGGAACAACUAAUUCAAAUUUCUUCACUGACAAGUGAUUUGUAACUAUUAAAUCUAACUCUUAUUUAGGUUUUACCUUUGAUUUACUUUUCUUGAUGUAUAAGUAUUAUUAGGAGUUACUAUUAAGUGCAUAUGUUUAUGCACUUAAAAUAACUGUAAUAUGUAUGCAUUUAUAAACUAAAUAAUUAUCAAAUAUGCACAAAAAUAUUUAUUAUUACCUUAAUUUUUAAGCAAGAUCUAAUCAUUUUUAAAUAGUGAUAUUUAACAUACUCGUAUCUCAUUUAAAAAUAAAAAUAUCGAAAAAUCAUGAGCGCUAGGACAUCUAUAAUCUUCUUACCUUCGAGUUUGGUAAUGAGUCAAUUUGCUAUUAAAACUAAUGGCACAACAUGUGUCUUACUGAACCCUAAUCUGCUAUGUCUUGGGUUUAUAAAACAGAGACUGUAGAUGUCGCUUUGGCGUUAAUUUGUAUUAGUAAUUAUUUGUAUUUAUUAUUUAUUUAAUAUUGCUUAUUAAUUUACAAUAAAAGCGUUACAGUGUUUUACAAUGGUUUUUUAAUUCGCUCAAAUUUUAUGCUUUUUUGCUUUAUAUUUUGUUAUUAAUUCAAAUCGUUUUUGAACAGUUCCGAAAUGUACUGAAAUAUGCAUUUAUAUUCUUAAUAUCCUAAAAUAUGCUAAGUAAAAAUAGUAUUAUUUUAUUCAGUUGAACAUGGAUCAAAUUUGUAUCCAGGUCAGCAUUGAAUUAGAUAGACCGAGAAAAAUAUGCAAUUUCAUAAACAUCCGAAUCCCAAUUAUUAUUAUUAACAGUUAUUACUAAUGUAAAUCCUAUGGAAAUGUAUUUAGUAAUUUUACCAUGGUGAGUAAUCGGUGUUAUUUUCAUAAAAGUCUAUAUGAAUAGGAUAACUAUAAUAUUAAAUAACGAAUUUUAUUGUACAUUUUUGUUUGCGUGCAACGUGCAUAAUAAUUAUUAAGUAUUAAAAGCUAUUUCACAGGUCGGAUUCAACAUAAUUAUUAGUUAGGUUAAUUUGUUUUAUUAUCACAUAGGUGCUUGUAUAAUGGUGAACUCGCACAAACGUCCAG
Molecule: non-coding RNA, 4743 nt
Organism: Cinara cedri
Lineage: Eukaryota; Metazoa; Arthropoda; Insecta; Hemiptera; Aphididae
Source: the annotation of a GenBank genome assembly